RNAcentral lists this unclassified non-coding RNA (161 nucleotides) under uncultured Xylariales. RNAcentral's name for it is "sequence contains ITS1". The record is from RNAcentral. Lineage: Eukaryota; Fungi; Ascomycota; Sordariomycetes; Xylariales.
CAGAGUUGUAAAACUCCCAACCCAUGUGAACAUACCUCUGUUGCCUCGGCGGCCUACCCGGUAGCUACCCUGUAGUUACCCUGUAGUCCGCCGGCGGAAUACAACAAAACUCUUGUUUAUUAGUGGUAUUCUCUCUGAGUGGCACAAGCAAAAAUAAAUUA